Molecule: ribosomal RNA, 401 nt
Filed under: uncultured bacterium
Lineage: Bacteria
Description: bacterial SSU rRNA
Rfam family: Bacterial small subunit ribosomal RNA
Source: RNAcentral
GGGAAUAUUGCACAAUGGGGGAAACCCUGAUGCAGCGACGCCGCGUGAGUGAAGAAGCGCCUCGGCGCGUAAAGCUCUGUCAGCAGGAACGAUAAUGACGGUACCUGAAGAAGAAGCCCCGGCUAACUACGUGCCAGCAGCCGCGGUAAUACGUAGGGGGCAAGCGUUAUCCGGAAUUACUGGGUGUAAAGGGAGCGUAGACGGUGAUGUAAGUCUGGAGUGAAAGGCGGGGGCCCAACCCCCGGACUGCUCUGGAAACUAUGUGACUGGAGUGCAGGAGAGGUGAGCGGAAUUCCUAGUGUAGCGGUGAAAUGCGUAGAUAUUAGGAGGAACACCAGUGGCGAAGGCGGCUCACUGGACUGUAACUGACGUUGAGGCUCGAAAGCGUGGGGAGCAAACAG